GAAAUAUGUGAAUCAAAAAAAGAUUUCUAACCUUUUAUUAAGCGAUGAAACUUCGUUUAUAUUUCU
RNAcentral lists this transfer RNA (66 nucleotides) under Curculionidae sp. BMNH 1042554. RNAcentral describes it as "tRNA-Ser". Lineage: Eukaryota; Metazoa; Arthropoda; Insecta; Coleoptera; Curculionidae. The record is from RNAcentral.